GCCCCUUUGGCGGAAUUGGUAGACGCGCUGGACUCAAAAUCCAGUUCCCGUGAGGGAGUUCCGGUUCGACCCCGGAAGGGGGCACCA
This 87-nucleotide transfer RNA is filed under the name Nitratireductor sp. Its description in RNAcentral is "tRNA-Leu". It matches the Rfam family "tRNA". Rfam says of the family: Transfer RNA (tRNA) molecules are approximately 80 nucleotides in length. Their secondary structure includes four short double-helical elements and three loops (D, anti-codon, and T loops). Lineage: Bacteria; Pseudomonadati; Pseudomonadota; Alphaproteobacteria; Hyphomicrobiales; Phyllobacteriaceae. RNAcentral also lists the same sequence under 2 other names. The record is from RNAcentral.